Molecule: ribosomal RNA, 301 nt
Filed under: uncultured bacterium
Lineage: Bacteria
Description: partial 16S ribosomal RNA
Rfam family: Bacterial small subunit ribosomal RNA
Source: RNAcentral
CAGCAGCCGCGGGAACACGUAGGGGGCGAGCGUUGUCCGAAGUUACUGGGCGUAAAGAGCGCGUAGGCGGGUCUUUAAGUGAGGAGUGAAAGUCCGAGGCUCAACCUCGGAACUGCCUUUCAUACUGGGGACCUUGGGUGUGGGAGAGGCGAGUGGAAUGGUCGGUGUAGCGGUUAAAUGCGUAGAGAUGUGGAGGAACACCAGUGGCGAAGGCGACUCUCUGGUCUGUAACUGACGCUGAGGAGCGAAAGCGUGGGGAGCGAACAGGAUUAGAUACCCGUGUAGUCCCUGUCUCUUAUAC